AACGAACGCUGGCGGCAGGCUUAACACAUGCAAGUCGAGCGCCCCGCAAGGGGAGCGGCAGACGGGUGAGUAACGCGUGGGAAUCUACCCAUCUCUACGGAAUAACUCAGGGAAACUUGUGCUAAUACCGUAUACGCCCUUUUGGGGAAAGAUUUAUCGGAGAUGGAUGAGCCCGCGUUGGAUUAGCUAGUUGGUGGGGUAAAGGCCUACCAAGGCGACGAUCCAUAGCUGGUCUGAGAGGAUGAUCAGCCACAUUGGGACUGAGACACGGCCCAAACUCCUACGGGAGGCAGCAGUGGGGAAUAUUGGACAAUGGGCGCAAGCUUGAUCCAUCCAUGCCGCGUGAGUGAUGAAGGCCCUAGGGUUGUAAAGCUCUUUCACCGGAGAAGAUAAUGACGGUAUCCGGAGAAGAAGCCCCGGCUAACUUCGUGCCAGCAGCCGCAGUAA
Molecule: ribosomal RNA, 447 nt
Filed under: uncultured bacterium
Lineage: Bacteria
Description: partial 16S ribosomal RNA
Rfam family: Bacterial small subunit ribosomal RNA
Source: RNAcentral